RNAcentral lists this ribosomal RNA (392 nucleotides) under Sodreana barbiellinii. RNAcentral describes it as "partial small subunit ribosomal RNA". Lineage: Eukaryota; Metazoa; Arthropoda; Arachnida; Opiliones; Gonyleptidae. The record is from RNAcentral.
UUAGAUACCCUAGUAUUUAUAAAGUUUUGAAAUUAGUAUUAAUAGAAAUUUAAUAAUUUUGGCGGUUAAUUAAUAUUUAGAGGAGCUUGUGUUUGAUAGAAUUUGCUCUUUAUAUUUUGAAAAUAAUUUAAUUUAUUCAUCUCCGUUAUUAAUUUUUGAAGGAGGAGGUUUUGUAAGAUUUAUGUUUAAAAUUUCAGGUCAAGAUGUAGUUUUAUUUUAAAGAUAUUUAGCUACAUUUAUGUAAUUAGUGGAUUAUAGAGUUUAUCUAUUAAAUUAGUAUAAGAAAUUGAAUUUAGCUGUAAUAGUAAUUAGAAUGUUAUUAUGAAUAUAUUUAAUUAAUGUACAUAUUGCCCGUCACUUCUGUUUAAGAUGGAAUAAGUCGUAACAAAGUA